GAACGCUGAAACCAGAGCUUGCUUUGGUGGAUGAGUGGCGAACGGGUGAGUAACACGUGGGUGAUCUGCCCUACACUUUGGGAUAAGCCUGGGAAACUGGGUCUAAUACCGAAUAUUCACACCACCGUAGGGGUGGUGUGGAAAAGCUUUAUGCGGUGUGGGAUGAGCCUGCGGCCUAUCAACUUGUUGGUGGGGUAAUGGCCUACCAAGGCGUCGACGGGUAGCCGGCCUGAGAGGGUGUACGGCCACAUUGGGACUGAGACACGGCCCAGACUCCUACGGGAGGCAGCAGUGGGGAAUAUUGCACAAUGGGCGCAAGCCUGAUGCAGCGACGCCGCGUGGGGGAUGAAGGCCUUCGGGUUGUAAACUCCUUUCGCUAGGGACGAAGCCUUUUAGGUGACGGUACCUGGAGAAGAAGCACCGGCUAACUACGUGCCAGCAGCCGCGGUAAUACGUAGGGUGCGAGCGUUGUCCGGAAUUACUGGGCGUAAAGAGCUCGUAGGUGGUUUGUCGCGUCGUCUGUGAAAUCCCGGGGCUUAACUUCGGGCGUGCAGGCGAUACGGGCAUAACUUGAGUGCUGUAGGGGAGACUGGAAUUCCUGGUGUAGCGGUGAAAUGCGCAGAUAUCAGGAGGAA
Molecule: ribosomal RNA, 635 nt
Filed under: Corynebacterium glutamicum
Lineage: Bacteria; Bacillati; Actinomycetota; Actinomycetes; Mycobacteriales; Corynebacteriaceae
Description: bacterial SSU rRNA
Rfam family: Bacterial small subunit ribosomal RNA
Source: RNAcentral